CCUACGGGAGGCAGCAGUGGGGAAUAUUGCACAAUGGGGGAAACCCUGAUGCAGCGACGCCGCGUGAGUGAAGAAGUAUUUCGGUAUGUAAAGCUCUAUCAGCAGGGAAGAAAAAAGACGGUACCUGACUAAGAAGCCCCGGCUAACUACGUGCCAGCAGCCGCGGUACUACGUAGGGGGCAAGCGUUAUCCGGGUUUACUGGGUGUAAAGGGAGCGUAGACGGAGAAGCAAGUCUGAAGUGAAAGCCCGUGGCUUAACCACGGGACUGCUUUUGAAACUGUUUGACUAGAGUGCUGGAGAGGUAAGUGGAAUGCGUGGUGUAGCGGUGAAAUGCGUAGAUAUUAGGAGGAACACCAGUGGCGAAGGCGGCUUACUGGACAGUAACUGACGUUGAGGCUCGAAAGCGUGGGGAGCGAACAGGAUUAGAUACCCGGGUAGUC
This 441-nucleotide ribosomal RNA is filed under the name uncultured bacterium. Its description in RNAcentral is "partial 16S ribosomal RNA". It matches the Rfam family "Bacterial small subunit ribosomal RNA", at positions 338 to 795 of the family's 1533-position model. The record is from RNAcentral.